GACGAACGCUGGCGGCGUGCUUAACACGUGCAAGUCGAACGAUGAACCCGGAGCUUGCUCCGGCGGAUUAGUGGCGAACGGGUGAGUAACACGUGAGUAACCUGCCCUUGACUCUGGGAUAACUGCUAGAAAUGGUAGCUAAUACCGGAUACGACCCUCGGUGGCAUCACCAGGGGGUGGAAAGAAUUUCGGUCAAGGAUGGACUCGCGGCCUAUCAGCUAGUUGGUGAGGUAACGGCUCACCAGGGCGACGACGGGUAGCCGGCCUGAGAGGGUGACCGGCCACACUGGGACUGAGACACGGCCCAGACUCCUACGGGAGGCAGCAGUGGGGAAUAUUGCACAAUGGGCGCAAGCCUGAUGCAGCAACGCCGCGUGAGGGAUGACGGCCUUCGGGUUGUAAACCUCUUUCAGCACCGACGAAGCGCAAGUGACGGUAGGUGCAGAAGAAGGACCGGCCAACUACGUGCCAGCCGCCGCGGUAA
Molecule: ribosomal RNA, 484 nt
Filed under: uncultured bacterium
Lineage: Bacteria
Description: partial 16S ribosomal RNA
Rfam family: Bacterial small subunit ribosomal RNA
Source: RNAcentral